UACGUAGAGUGUAAAGGCAAAAGAGAGCUUGAUUGCAAGACAUACAGGUCGAGCAAGGAUGAAAAUCGGACUUAGUGAUCCGGUGGUUCUGCGUGGAAGGGCCAUCGCUCAACGGAUAAAAGCUACCCUGGGGAUAACAGGCUUAUCUCCCCCAAGAGUCCACAUCGACGGGGAGGUUUGGCACCUCGAUGUCGGCUCAUCACAUCCUGGGGCUGUAGUAGGUCCCAAGGGUUGGGCUGUUCGCCCAUUAAAGUGGUACGCGAGCUGGGUUCAGAACGUCGUGAGACAGUUCGG
This 294-nucleotide ribosomal RNA is filed under the name Clostridioides difficile. RNAcentral describes it as "partial 23S ribosomal RNA". It matches the Rfam family "Bacterial large subunit ribosomal RNA", at positions 2341 to 2634 of the family's 2925-position model. Lineage: Bacteria; Bacillati; Bacillota; Clostridia; Peptostreptococcales; Peptostreptococcaceae. The record is from RNAcentral.